Octodon degus (degu) is the source of this 141-nucleotide small nuclear RNA. Its record names the gene U4. It matches the Rfam family "U4 spliceosomal RNA". Rfam says of the family: U4 small nuclear RNA (U4 snRNA) is a component of the major U2-dependent spliceosome. The structure of U4 snRNA from yeast and human has been reported. Lineage: Eukaryota; Metazoa; Chordata; Mammalia; Rodentia; Octodontidae. The record is from Ensembl.
AGCUUUGCGCAGUGACAGUAGCGUAGCCAAUGAGGUUUAUCCGAGGCGUGAUUAUUGCUAAUUGAAAACUUUUCCUAAUACCCCGCCAUGAUGACUUGAAAUAUAGUCGGCAUUGGCAAUUUUUGACGGUCUCUACGGAGA